RNAcentral lists this ribosomal RNA (586 nucleotides) under uncultured bacterium. Its description in RNAcentral is "partial 16S ribosomal RNA". It matches the Rfam family "Bacterial small subunit ribosomal RNA", at positions 355 to 1375 of the family's 1533-position model. The record is from RNAcentral.
UGGGGAAUUUUGGACAAUGGGCGAAAGCCUGAUCCAGCAAUGCCACGUGUGUGAAGAAGGCCUUCGGGUUGUAAAGCACUUUUGUCCGGAAAGAAAUCCUUGGCUCCAAUACAGUCGGGGGAUGACGGUACCGGAAGAAUAAGCACCGGCUAACUACGUGCCAGCAGCCGCGGUAAUACGUAGGGUGCAAGCGUUAAUCGGAAUUACUGGGCGUAAAGCGUGCGCAGGCGGUUUGCUAAGACCGAUGUGAAAUCCCCGGGCUCAACCUGGGAACUGCAUUGGUGACUGGCAGGCUAGAGUAUGGCAGAGGGGGGUAGAAUUCCACGUGUAGCAGUGAAAUGCGUAGAGAUGUGGAGGAAUACCGAUGGCGAAGGCAGCCCCCUGGGCCAAUACUGACGCUCAUGCACGAAAGCGUGGGGAGCAAACAGGAUUAGAUACCCUGGUAGUCCACGCCCUAAAACGAUGUCAACUAGUUGUUGGGGAUUCAUUUCCUUAGUAACGUAGCUAACGCGUGAAGUUGACCGCCUGGGGAGUACGGUCGCAAGAUUAAAACUUAAAGGAAUUGACGGGGUCAUAGCUGUUUCCU